RNAcentral lists this ribosomal RNA (1062 nucleotides) under uncultured bacterium. Its description in RNAcentral is "partial 16S ribosomal RNA". It matches the Rfam family "Bacterial small subunit ribosomal RNA", at positions 44 to 1154 of the family's 1533-position model. The record is from RNAcentral.
AGGCCUAACACAUGCAAGUCGAGCGGUAGAGAGAAGCUUGCUUCUCUUGAGAGCGGCGGACGGGUGAGUAAUGCCUAGGAAUCUGCCUGGUAGUGGGGGAUAACGUUCGGAAACGAACGCUAAUACCGCAUACGUCCUACGGGAGAAAGCAGGGGACCUUCGGGCCUUGCGCUAUCAGAUGAGCCUARGUCGGAUUAGCUAGUUGGUGGGGUAAUGGCYCACCAAGGCGACGAUCCGUAACUGGUCUGAGAGGAUGAUCMGYCACACUGGAACUGAGACACGGYCCAGACUCCUACGGGAGGCAGCAGUGGGGAAUAUUGGACAAUGGGCGAAAGCCUGAUCCAGCCAUGCCGCGUGUGUGAAGAAGGUCUUMKGAUUGURAAGCWCUUUAAGUURGGAGGAAGGGCCAUUACCUAAUACGUGAUGGUUUUGACGUUACCGACAGAAWAAGCACCSGCUAACUCUGUGCCARCAGCCCGCGGUAAUACAGAGGGUGCAAGCGUUAAUCGGAAUUACUGGKCGUAAAGCGCGCGUAGGUGGUUUGUUAAGUUSGAUGUGAAAUCCCCGGGCUCWACCUGGGAACUGCAUUCRAAACUGACUGACUAGAGUAKGGUARAGGGWGGUGGAAUUUCCUGUGUAGCGGUGAAAUGCGUAGAUAUAGGAAGGAACACCAGUGGCGAAGCGACCACCUGGACUGAUACUGACMCUGAGUGMGAAGCRUGGGGAGYAAACAGGAUUAGAUACCCUGGUAGUCCACGCCGUAAACGAUGUCAACUAGCCGUUGGGAGCUGAGSUCUAGUGCGCACUAACGCAUAAGUGACCGCCUGGGGAGKACGCCGCAGWUAAACUCARAUGAUUGACGGGGUCCGCACWAGCGUGGAGCAUGUGUUUAGUCGAUGCACGYSAAGACGUACCAUGCUGAMUCRAUGAACUUCAGAGAWUGAUGUGCCUCGGAACAURAUACAGGRCUGCAUGACUKCCGCMGCYCGKUCUGCAAUKUGGUUAGUUCGUACGAGCCAACCUGCCUAGUACAGGCGGUAUUGYGAMCCUUAGGAUCUGCGG